This is a long non-coding RNA of Vidua macroura (Pin-tailed whydah), 520 nucleotides long. RefSeq lists it as uncharacterized. The record is from RefSeq and is a predicted model, not a curated record. Lineage: Eukaryota; Metazoa; Chordata; Aves; Passeriformes; Viduidae. The transcript has 3 exons.
GCAGAUUGUGCCCAUGACAGAGAAAUCCUGACUCCACUGGAGGGAGAGACAGAAGUGGGACUGUUUGCUCCCAGCAAGGGGAGGCUGUGUGGAGUCUUUGGCUGAGUCUUGGCAGUGGAGCCAUGGAAUUGGUGUAGAGUCACUGCUGCAGGACCAGUUGUACAGGCUCCAGCAGUCAAAGAGCACUCACCUGCAUUGCUGCCUUUGGAGGGGUGGCAGUGCUUCCACAUGGGGCUGUGGCAUGGCAGAGAGGACAGAAGUGCCAAACUGUAGGGUGUGUGGAUGGAGAACCCUGCACCCUCCAGGCCAGCAUCAUCCCUCCAAAAGAGAAGAGGCCUUUUGGGCUUAAAACAUUGAUGAAUGUGACUCUGAGCAACUUGAUGGAGUUGAAGAUGUCCCUGCUCAUUGGGGACUUACACUAGAUGAUCUUUAAAGGUCAUUUCCAACCCAAACCGUUCUUUGAAUCUCGGAUUCUCUGACUGUAAGUUCUCCUGAGUCUCACAGGCUUUGUAUGUAAAUA